GUGUUACAUUUAUCACAUAUCUUAACUUGUAGCUUUUAUUACACUGAAUUUAAAUUAGCUCCUGAACACUGUUUAGAAAACACUAAAUGAAACGAUGCAGCAACAGUGGUUUGGUUGAUCAUUUUUUAAGGAGAGAGGGUGAAUGGGACAGUGUGACUGGGCCUAGUGUGUUCCACUUGGCACCGUCCCGGAGAAAGUAACAGGAUUACGACAGACAGCUAAAGUCAACAGCUGACACACACACGCACAUACACACACACUGUAUAUACUCACACACGUCUCACAGCUGACAACAGGACAAAGUGGCAACUGUCCGACCUGAGACGUGGUCAUGGAACCAUCAUCGCUCUUUACUAAACUAUCUGUGCAUGUGCAUUUGUGUGUGUUUCCAACGUAACUGAUCAGCGUAAGAUGCUGUUUAAACAGAGCCCUACAUAACAGCAUAACUGUGGUAACUGGUCCAGCUCUGCCGCUGCUGCGAGGCAUCUCAAGUUUUUCCUGCCUGUGCAGGGUCAUCUGAUGCCAACAAUGAAGCCGCUGCCUCAUUAUGUGUCCGCCUGCCAGGACCGGGCUCGCACAGAUGCACAAACCUUUUGCCAUUCAACCUAUUCAGAUGGCAGACUGGCACGUGCCUCUGUGCAUGGAUGUCAAUACACACACACACACACACACACACACAUACACACACAGACAGACUGGCAGAAUCCUCUGGAGUGGGCUGGAUGACAGCUGAUGUCUUUUGAUACGGGGUUGUUUACUGUGCAGUGGCGUAGUCCUCCCGUGCAGAAUGCUGAGUCCACUGAAAAGCGUUUUCACCUCGAAAAACAACAUCAUCCAGAGCAGGUGGACGGCCCAGCGGACGCUUCUGGAUAUUAAAACCCUGUGGGACAUCUGUCGCUUUCCUUUUGACUGUCUAGUGUUUCAGCACAUGUGAUGGUGGGCGGUGGGGUGGGGGGCUCUGACUCGCUGACAGUUGUCAACACAAGUCAUGUGGUUUUCUAAUCAUGUGUUUAUAGAGAGCCUCACAGACCCCUGUGGCAUGAUGACAUAACUAAUUUAGAUAUGAAUUAUGUAUUUUAUUUUUCUUCUAAACAAUAUGUAAUGAACUACAACAGUAAUAAAUAAAUAUCACAACUUGCUAAAAUGGCUGAGAUCUCAACCAACAUAAAACUUUAUACUCUGCCACUGUAAAUAAUUUGUCAAACAGUAGACACAUAAAAUCCAUAUGAAAUCACUUAGUUUACAGCUUUCUGCUGGAUGAGUGGCCUAAUCCACACUAGGACUGAAUUUUCAUUAUCAAUUAUUUUCUCUAUAUGUUUGGUCUACAGAAUGUCUGUCUUUAAAAUACCUUUAAAAAAUUGCUAAUUUUGUUCAACCAACAGUCCAAAGAAUUUCACUUACUAUGAAAUAAAACAAAGAAAAGUACCAAAUCCUCAGAACUGAAAAACUGGGAAUAGGAAACUGGCAUUUUGGCUUAAAAACAGACAGAUAAUUAUUUAUCAAAUAAAGUUCCUGUCAGUCGACUAACUGAUUUAAAGGACUAGUGCUUUCAACUCUUGUCCACACAGCAUGUGAUGCUCUGGGUUUAAAUGCACUGCCUUUGUUGCAUGUCAUCUAAUCUAUUAUCUACUUUAUAAAAGCAAUCUUCCAAAAAAACCUUGAAAAUGAAGACACAGUAAUGUACUCUAAUAUCAUUGCUCUGAACAACAAGUAAAAGGCAGGACAGUGAGGAGAGCAGUGUGGUUUUAAAGCGCAUUUCAGGCAGAUGAGGCAGCUCUACGUGGCCUCGGCCAGCUGGAUGAAAAGAAUCACAUCUGGCGAGCUGAGUCAAAAGCCUAAAGAUGCCAAACUCUGUUGAAAUAUUUGGCGAAGUUGUCUGCUCCACUCAAACAUGCGAGCGGUAAACACACAGUGAGAGAGAUGGCCGCAAAAGCAUCCAGACAUACUGUACACUAAAAUGCCAGCUCUGCAUUUUCAAUACAAUCUAUAGCUGUAGGUGAAACAAAGCCUAUUUUCUCACAUCAAUACGCAUUCAAAUUGCUUACAUGAGAAACAGGAAGGACUGUUCUUUGUAUUUAAAAAACAAAAUGCUGAGCUCUAUGGUUGGGAUGACAUAUCAGUUUGUAGACGUCAACUCUGACUCUGCAGACAAUCAGAAUUAAACUCACAAUGAGACAUCUAUCACUUUCCUGCUGGCCCCAGGUGAAACAUAUGGCACAUUGGGAAGGGUGUGAUAAAUACACUACACUAGCCCUAUAAAAUAAUCUGUGGUUAGCCAAGACGUGACUUGUGGUACAAAGCAGCUAUUACUUUCCUCUUUUUUUUUCCUGGUUGACAAUUAACUGAGUCAGGGCAAGACAAGCCCGUCUAUGAUGUUUCAAACCUUCCACUCCUUUGAAUUUCUGCAGCCAGUCCUGUCUUGUCUUUAUCUCCUCUGGACAAAAACCUUAGUUCAGAUAGAACAACAUGUGUUUCUAUUGAUGAUUGGGUGUAAUUUUGGGGAUGUCGUUCUUGCUUUGUGGCUUUUUUUAUAUUGGCUGAAUGAUGGAGCGAAUACAAUAAAUGUUUGUAGCAGAGGAGAGAGUUACAGGAAAAUUUUAAGUGUUGCUGCUGAAUGUAGGGGAAAACCCUGGGUUGGUCCUUGUAAAAGACUGGAAACACUCUUCCUGGCCCAUCCAUUGAUUUAAUUCCACCUCCGUCUUCACAUUUUCAUUCACUUUGCUCUCCAGCAUCUCUGCAGUUUAUCGAGCAUGCGAACAUUCCUCCGGAGAAUGCGGCUAUUUUUCAGACUCCACUUCAUCCUGACUUCUUUUUCUUUCAUUUCCAUGAGUCGCGUCACUCCCUUUAUUUCUCUCUCCGUUCCUUUCCCAAUCCUGUAUGUGUUGAAUAUCA
Long non-coding RNA from Lates calcarifer (barramundi perch), 2892 nucleotides. RefSeq lists it as uncharacterized. The record is from RefSeq and is a predicted model, not a curated record. The transcript is spliced from 3 exons. NCBI's taxonomy places the organism in Eukaryota, Metazoa, Chordata, Actinopteri, Centropomidae.